GCUUAGCCCUAAACAAAGAUAAUGAAAAUACAACACUAUCCGCCAGAGAACUACAAGCGAAAAGCUAGAAACUCCAAGGACUUGGCGGUGCUUCAAACCAACCUAGAGGAGCCUGUCCUAUAAUCGAUACUCCACGUUUUACCUUACCCCCUCUAGCCCUCAGCCUAUAUACCGCCGUCGUAAGCCUACCUUAUGAAAGAAAAAAAGUGGGCGAAAUAGUUAUUUAUUAAUACGUCAGGUCAAGGUGUAGCACACGAGGCGGUAGAGAUGGGCUACAUUCUCAAAACAGCAUACGACAUGGUAUAUUGAAACAUAUACUUGAAGGCGGAUUUAGCAGUAAGACAAGUAAGAGACCCUGUCUUAAAUAUGCUCUGAAGCGCGCACACACCGC
Molecule: ribosomal RNA, 391 nt
Filed under: Sphenomorphus sabanus
Lineage: Eukaryota; Metazoa; Chordata; Lepidosauria; Squamata; Scincidae
Description: partial 12S ribosomal RNA
Rfam family: Bacterial small subunit ribosomal RNA
Source: RNAcentral